This 429-nucleotide ribosomal RNA is filed under the name Gemmatimonadota bacterium. RNAcentral's name for it is "Gemmatimonadetes bacterium partial 16S ribosomal RNA". It matches the Rfam family "Bacterial small subunit ribosomal RNA", at positions 355 to 776 of the family's 1533-position model. The record is from RNAcentral. Lineage: Bacteria; Pseudomonadati; Gemmatimonadota.
UAGGGAAUCUUCGGCAAUGGACGAAAGUCUGACCGAGCAACGCCGCGUGAGUGAAGAAGGUUUUCGGAUCGUAAAACUCUGUUGUUAGAGAAGAACAAGGACGUUAGUAACUGAACGUCCCCUGACGGUAUCUAACCAGAAAGCCACGGCUAACUACGUGCAAGCAGCCGCGGUAAUACGUAGGUGGCAAGCGUUGUCCGGAUUUAUUGGGCGUAAAGCGAGCGCAGGCGGUUUCUUAAGUCUGAUGUGAAAGCCCCCGGCUCAACCGGGGAGGGUCAUUUGAAACUGGGAGACUUGAGUGCAGAAGAGGAGAGUGGAAUUCCAUGUGUAGCGGUGAAAUGCGUAGAUAUAUGGAGGAACACCAGUGGCGAAGGCGGCUCUCUGGUCUGUAACUGACGCUGAGGCUCGAAAGCGUGGGGAGCAAACAGG